CUUCAACUCAACUUUUGACAGCAAUUUGCUUGUCUUGAUAGACAGAGUCAUCUAUGUAUCUUUACAUGGCCAACCUCCACACUGGGUGUCAGUUGGUGUUACUGCUGCUGGUGCCAUUGAACUUUGAACUCUUUGAGUGGCCCAUGGUGUGAGAGAAGCCAUGAGCUUGCUUCUGGUAUCUCUUCUCAUAAAGAAGACAUGAGCUUUAGUCACCUGCAAGACUCAUUCACCAUUGGCCUUUGGUCGAGCAACAAGAGGCUGAGGCAUAAGUCCCCAGGCAAAAGCCUACUAAUCCAUGUGCAUGGCUGAAAGGUAUGCUUUAAUGGGAAAAAGGUAUGUUGGCAUUUCAUACAGGAAUCUGUCGUGUUUUGGGAGUGUUCCAACACCACCUCCUAUUGGCCAUUCCACACCUGAAAGAGGGAGAAGACAACAUACAUGGAAAAGGAGGCAAUAAUGGAGAAUCUGACUUGUCUUGAAACAUGAAGAAAGAAUGGAGAUAAAAUAGAAAACUAGUGCUUCUAGACUUAGCACUACAUCAAGGCCAGCCAAUGAGACUGACUAUAAGGGAUAUGCUUCAUCAUCGCAGUGGAUCGGAGGAGGCAGAUUCCUCACUCAGUUUUUGAUGAGGAUGCCAGGAAGGAUUGCACAUCAUCAGUGGGAUGGACAGGUCAGAUGAUGGAAUGGCAUUCAGGUGAAGGGUGGAGUCUGACUACUGCACCAUUCCUCCAUGUCAACGCAUUCAUGCUUUCAUGUGGCGACUUUCUGCAUGCAAACUGCAUGCGUUUCCCGAAAAGUUACGUGAACUUUUUUAGGGCAUCCCCGAAGCAUCAUAAUGUCACUAAAAGCUUUGCAUUUGUGCUGCCACUCUUUAUGCCAGAUUGUAUGUGUUUAGGUGUCUCUUCACAGAGAUAUCACGAACAAAGAUCAUCAUAUAUUAU
This is a long non-coding RNA of Musa acuminata AAA Group (dessert banana), 938 nucleotides long. RefSeq lists it as uncharacterized. The record is from RefSeq and is a predicted model, not a curated record. The transcript has 4 exons. Lineage: Eukaryota; Viridiplantae; Streptophyta; Magnoliopsida; Zingiberales; Musaceae.